Musa acuminata AAA Group (dessert banana) is the source of this 2843-nucleotide RNA transcript. It is a transcript of the gene named pentatricopeptide repeat-containing protein At4g38010-like, with no coding region annotated. The record is from RefSeq and is a predicted model, not a curated record. The transcript is spliced from 2 exons. NCBI's taxonomy places the organism in Eukaryota, Viridiplantae, Streptophyta, Magnoliopsida, Zingiberales, Musaceae.
ACCAUGAACGUUGCCUCCGCCCACACUCUGCAGUCCGCCCUCCUCUGCCUCCUCCGCCAGCGCAAGCGCAUCCGAUCCUUCGACCAAAUCCACGCUCUGAUCCUCACGUCCGGCGUCACCAAGGACUCCUUCGUGGCCGCCGAGGUCGCCGCCCUUCUUCCUGCUUUUGUGGCUCCUCCCGCGGCCUACUCAGCCGUCAAGCACAUCCACGGCGUCCGCCGCUACCAGUUCCCCCUGCUAUUCAACUCGUUGAUCUCCGGAUAUGCCAGGAGCAAGCACCCACACCUGGGCAUCGUCGCGUAUAAGCUUAUGCUCGCUGACGGCAUCUUUCCCGAUAGGUACACCUUCCCGAUCGUUCUGAAAUCUUGCAUCAAGUUCUCGGGGAUCGGCGAAGCCAGGCAGCUUCAAGGUGCCGCAGUUAAGCUGCGGUUCUCGUGCGAUCUGUUUGUCCAGAAUGCACUUGUUCAUGUAUACGCAGUGUGUGAGGAAUAUGGUGAUGCAGGUCUCCUGUUUGACGAAAUGCCCAUUAAAGACGUGGUCUCCUGGACCAGCUUGAUCUCGGGAUAUGUGAAAGGUGGAUUAUUCGGAAAAGCUCUGCAAUUGUUUUCUCUGAUGGAUGUGGAGCCGAACAUUGCAACUCUAGUUAGCAUCAUCGUCGCCUGUGGGAGAUUGGGGGCUUUGAAUGUGGGCAGGGCAAUACAUGCAUUGACAUUGAAGCAUGACUAUGGGUUGAGUCUGGUUGCUGGAAAUGCCCUUCUGGAUAUGUACUUGAAGUGCGAGUGUUUGGAGGAGGCCAGACAGAUAUUUGAUGAACUUCCUGAAAGGGACAUAGUUUCAUGGACUAGUUUUAUUAGUGGGUUAGUGCAAUGCAAGCUUCCCAAGGAAGCUAUGGAUGUUUUCAAUUCCAUGCAGGCUUCUGGAGUGGAGCCAGACAAUGUCACUCUAUGUAGUGUUCUGUCAGCUUGUGCGAGCUUGGGGGCAUUGUCUUCUGGGAGAUGGGUCCAUGAGUACAUAGAGCGAAAGGGCAUUCAGUGGGAUGUUCAUCUAGGGACCGCAAUGGUUGACAUGUACUCUAAGUGUGGAUGCGUAGAUAUGGCAGUGCACAGCUUUCAUGAGAUGCCACAUAAGAAUGUUACCUCGUGGAAUGCAUUGCUUGGUGCCCUAGCCACUCAUGGUCAUGGUAAUGAAGCUCUCAAGUACUUCGAACAAAUGGCGGGAGUUGGUGUCAUUCCUAAUGAGGUUACCUUUGUAGCUAUUCUUUGUGCAUGUUGUCAUUCUGGCUUAGUAAAAGAGGGUUGUCAUAUGUUUGAUUUGAUGACUAAAUCCUACAAACUUGUGCCAUGGAUAGAACACUAUGGAUGCAUGGUUGAUUUGCUUGGUAGAGCUGGGUUCAUAUCAGAAGCUUAUGGACUUGUUAGAUCCAUGCCAAUUAGAGCUGACACUUAUGUAUGGGGAGCUUUACUGAGCGCUUGCAAAGCUCAUGGAAAUGUGGAACUUUCUCAAGAAAUCCUAUGCCACCUUCUUGAGCUGGAGCCUUCUGACAGCGGCGUGUAUGUGCUCCUCUCUAACAUAUUUGCUGCAGAUUGUAGGUGGGCAGAUGUAACAAGGGUGAGGAGGCUGAUGAGGCAGAGCAGUGUAAAGAAAGAAACAGGAACCAGUAUUGUCGAGGUGAAUGGUGAAGCUCAUGAGUUUAUAGUUGGAGAGUUUCUCCACCCAUUGAAGGAGGACAUUUUGCUAGCCUUGUGUACUCUAGAUAAACAAUUGCAACAUGGUGAACUAUAGCAGGGAUUCAAAACUAGUGGAAGGUUGUGCAGGCUCUCGAAAACUCUUUCCAGGUUUGACUCAAGUAACUUGCACCUUCAGCACAACAAGGGCAACAGAAGAUAAACAGAGCUCACAGUCGACUAUAUUCCACGAAUGUAUCAUGGUUCAAGUCUGCUGAUAUAAGCAUUCAAAAGAAAGAAGAUAAGCACAAAGUUAUGUCUACUGAAGCUGGAAGUCCUGUAAAAAAUUUAUGCAAGUGGGAGUUGAUGAGUUAUUGAAAGUUGGGCAAUCGACAUGCUGAUGUCCCAAAUAUUUGGGUAUGCAUUGCCAGGAAAGGAUGCAGUACUAUAAGGGCAUGAUGUACAAGUAUGUAUGGUAAUUGAUGUCUCAUGGACGAUAUAUUUCAGGAUGCAGUGCUAUAAGGGCAUGAUGUACAAGUAUAUAAGGCAAUUGAUGUUUUUAUAUUCUUCUUACAGGAAUAAGCAAGGUAGGUUAAGAUUGUCAUGGAAGAAAUGUGAAUCAUAUUCUAUUUAUUGAUCGAAGAGCUAGGCCUUGUAUACGUUUUAAAAUCCUGAUCUAGUUUCCCUACACUGUUACCUUUCAGGGUUGAACAACCUACAAAUUGUUUUAUUGAGGCCAAGAAAGAGGUAAUGAUGGAGGCAUUGGGAAAUAAUGGAUAAUUCUAUGUUCACAGACUUUGGCCAUGAAACUAAGCCGCAGCCUGCUCAUGUUGUCCUAGGCUUAUGCACUGCUCAUAGUUUCUGAACCAUAAUUCAUGUCUGACAUUUGGCAAACAGUGUUUGGUAUCAACAGGAUGCUUUUGCAUUUUACUCUUUAGAGGAUCUAGGUAGAUGCUGUUGCAUUUGUGUACUCUUUAGUGAGUUUAGGUAGAUGCUUUUGCAUUUGUGUUCUUUAUAGGAUCUGGAUAUGCACAAAGCACAUCCCAAUUUGGAAAGCACAGUGCAAUUCCAAAUGAUGGUUCCCUGGACAUUGAGUCAGGCACUAUAUAUAUGUCUGGUGAGCUAAGUUAGAUAAUUUGCAUGAGUUAGUUGAACCCUAUUAUUGUUCUGAUGUACCUU